RNAcentral lists this ribosomal RNA (253 nucleotides) under uncultured prokaryote. Its description in RNAcentral is "partial 16S ribosomal RNA". It matches the Rfam family "Bacterial small subunit ribosomal RNA", at positions 524 to 776 of the family's 1533-position model. The record is from RNAcentral.
UACGAAGGGGGCUAGCGUUGCUCGGAAUUACUGGGCGUAAAGGGUGCGUAGGUGGUUACGUAAGUUAGGUGUGAAAGUCCCGGGCUUAACCUGGGGAUUGCGCCUGAUACUGCGUAGCUAGAGUACUGUAGAGGGAAGUGGAAUUUCCGGUGUAGCGGUGAAAUGCGUAGAUAUCGGAAGGAACAUCGGUGGCGAAGGCGACUUCCUGGACAGCUACUGACACUGAGGCACGAAAGUGUGGGGAUCAAACAGG